This 360-nucleotide transfer-messenger RNA is filed under the name Campylobacter jejuni. It matches the Rfam family "transfer-messenger RNA". From Rfam's summary of the family: Bacterial tmRNA, also known as 10Sa RNA or SsrA, is named for its dual tRNA and mRNA-like properties. Its role is to liberate the mRNA from a stalled ribosome. Lineage: Bacteria; Pseudomonadati; Campylobacterota; Epsilonproteobacteria; Campylobacterales; Campylobacteraceae. RNAcentral also lists the same sequence under 1 other name. The record is from RNAcentral.
GGGAGCGACUUGGCUUCGACAGGAGUAAGUCUGCUUAGAUGGCAUGUCGCUUUGGGCAAAGCGUAAAAAGCCCAAAUAAAAUUAAACGCAAACAACGUUAAAUUCGCUCCUGCUUACGCUAAAGCUGCGUAAGUUCAGUUGAGCCUGAAAUUUAAGUCAUACUAUCUAGCUUAAUUUUCGGUCAUUUUUGAUAGUGUAGCCUUGCGUUUGACAAGCGUUGAGGUGAAAUAAAGUCUUAGCCUUGCUUUUGAGUUUUGGAAGAUGAGCGAAGUAGGGUGAAGUAAGUCAUCUUUGCUAAGCAUGUAGAGGUCUUUGUGGGAUUAUUUUUGGACAGGGGUUCGAUUCCCCUCGCUUCCACCA